This 72-nucleotide transfer RNA is filed under the name Bos taurus (domestic cattle). It matches the Rfam family "tRNA". From Rfam's summary of the family: Transfer RNA (tRNA) molecules are approximately 80 nucleotides in length. Their secondary structure includes four short double-helical elements and three loops (D, anti-codon, and T loops). RNAcentral also lists the same sequence under 2 other names. Lineage: Eukaryota; Metazoa; Chordata; Mammalia; Artiodactyla; Bovidae. The record is from Rfam by way of RNAcentral.
UCCCUGGUGGCUCAGACGGUAAAGCAUCUGCCUGCAAUGCAGGAGACUCGGGUUUUAUCCCUGAUUUGGGAA